CUGAAAAGAAGUUUAGUUUUUUUCUUUAUAUCAAGAGAAAAGAUAUUUCUGGUGUGCUAAAUAAACCUUUGGAGGUAAAUUAGCAGCAUGACUAACUUAGCCAUUGCUGCUAGUCACCUUCAGACAAGU
Molecule: small nucleolar RNA, 129 nt
Filed under: Castor canadensis (American beaver)
Lineage: Eukaryota; Metazoa; Chordata; Mammalia; Rodentia; Castoridae
Source: RNAcentral